This 105-nucleotide small RNA is filed under the name Marmota monax (woodchuck). The record is from RNAcentral. Lineage: Eukaryota; Metazoa; Chordata; Mammalia; Rodentia; Sciuridae.
GCUGGGCAUGGUGGUGCAGGCCUGUCAUCCCAGUGACUUUGGAGGCUGAAGCAGGAGGAUCACAUUUGAGGCCAGCCUCAGCAACUAAGCAAGACCCUGUCUUGA